GACGAACGCUGGCGGCGUGCUUAACACAUGCAAGUCGAACGGAAAGGCCCUGCUUUUGUGGGGUGCUCGAGUGGCGAACGGGUGAGUAACACGUGAGUAACCUGCCCUUGACUUUGGGAUAACUUCAGGAAACUGGGGCUAAUACCGGAUAGGAGCUCCUGCUGCAUGGUGGGGGUUGGAAAGUUUCGGCGGUUGGGGAUGGACUCGCGGCUUAUCAGCUUGUUGGUGGGGUAGUGGCUUACCAAGGCUUUGACGGGUAGCCGGCCUGAGAGGGUGACCGGCCACAUUGGGACUGAGAUACGGCCCAGACUCCUACGGGAGGCAGCAGUGGGGAAUAUUGCACAAUGGGCGGAAGCCUGAUGCAGCAACGCCGCGUGCGGGAUGACGGCCUUCGGGUUGUAAACCGCUUUCGCCUGUGACGAAGCGUGAGUGACGGUAAUGGGUAAAGAAGCACCGGCUAACUACGUGCCAGCAGCCGCGGUGAUACGUAGGGUGCGAGCGUUGUCCGGAUUUAUUGGGCGUAAAGGGCUCGUAGGUGGUUGAUCGCGUCGGAAGUGUAAUCUUGGGGCUUAACCCUGAGCGUGCUUUCGAUACGGGUUGACUUGAGGAAGGUAGGGGAGAAUGGAAUUCCUGGUGGAGCGGUGGAAUGCGCAGAUAUCAGGAGGAACACCAGUGGCGAAGGCGGUUCUCUGGGCCUUUCCUGACGCUGAGGAGCGAAAGCGUGGGGAGCGAACAGGCUUAGAUACCCUGGUAGUCCACGCUGUAAACGGUGGGUACUAGGUGUGGGGUCCAUUCCACGGGUUCCGUGCCGUAGCUAACGCUUUAAGUACCCCGCCUGGGGAGUACGGCCGCAAGGCUAAAACUCAAAGGAAUUGACGGGGCCCCGCACAAGCGGCGGAGCAUGCGGAUUAAUUCGAUGCAACGCGUAGAACCUUACCUGGGUUUGACAUGGAUCGGGAGUGCUCAGAGAUGGGUGUGCCUCUUUUGGGGUCGGUUCACAGGUGGUGCAUGGCUGUCGUCAGCUCGUGUCGUGAGAUGUUGGGUUAAGUCCCGCAACGAGCGCAACCCUUGUUCAUUGUUGCCAGCACGUUAUGGUGGGGACUCAGUGGAGACCGCCGGGGUCAACUCGGAGGAAGGUGGGGAUGACGUCAAGUCAUCAUGCCCCUUAUGUCCAGGGCUUCACGCAUGCUACAAUGGCUGGUACAGAGAGUGGCGAGCCUGUGAGGGUGAGCGAAUCUCGGAAAGCCGGUCUCAGUUCGGAUUGGGGUCUGCAACUCGACCUCAUGAAGUCGGAGUCGCUAGUAAUCGCAGAUCAGCAACGCUGCGGUGAAAACGUUCCCGGG
Molecule: ribosomal RNA, 1343 nt
Filed under: uncultured bacterium
Lineage: Bacteria
Description: 16S ribosomal RNA
Rfam family: Bacterial small subunit ribosomal RNA
Source: RNAcentral